Acanthosepion pharaonis is the source of this 113-nucleotide non-coding RNA. The record is from the annotation of a GenBank genome assembly. NCBI's taxonomy places the organism in Eukaryota, Metazoa, Mollusca, Cephalopoda, Sepiida, Sepiidae.
UAGGGCCAUAUCACGUAGAAACACCGGUAUCCGUACGAUUGCCGAAGUUAAGCAACGUCGAGCCUGGUCAAUACCUAGUUAUGUGACCCCUUGUGAAUACCUGCUGCUGUAAG